Long non-coding RNA from Nyctereutes procyonoides (raccoon dog), 479 nucleotides. RefSeq lists it as uncharacterized. The transcript has 4 exons. The record is from RefSeq and is a predicted model, not a curated record. Lineage: Eukaryota; Metazoa; Chordata; Mammalia; Carnivora; Canidae.
GGCUGGGCGGCGGGUGCCAUGCGCCGGCAGCCGCACGGUCUCAGCGCCCGCCCACCCGCCCGCCUUCCACGGUCACGCCUCGGACGCCCAGCACCUGCCCCGCAGGUUUCUUAAGCCUUCUUGAUUAGUCCAUUUGUGUGUGUGUGUGUGGACAACAGUGAGCCAGUACCCAGGAAAAGAGAUAUUCUCAAAGAUGGCAGCACAGAUGAAAGAAUGCCAGAAAAGCUUGGCGCCAGCCGACUUCAACAGCAGCAAACAGCUAUCACCUGCCUACUCUCAACUUACCCAUCUUCUAAAAAAAAAAAAGCAGAACCUAAGUUUAACCUCUGAGUUAAAGAGCAGAGCCCAAGCAGCCAGGGUGGCUCAGUGGUUUAGCACCGCCUUCAGCCCAGGGGCAUGAUCCUGGAGACCUGUGAUUGAGUCCCAUGUCCCUGCAUGGAGCCUGCUUCUCCCUCUGCCUGUGUUUCUGCCUCUCUUUC